Molecule: ribosomal RNA, 1571 nt
Filed under: Saccharina japonica
Lineage: Eukaryota; Phaeophyceae; Laminariales; Laminariaceae
Description: bacterial SSU rRNA
Rfam family: Bacterial small subunit ribosomal RNA
Source: RNAcentral
AGAGUUUUAUCCUGGCUCAGAAUGAACGCUGGCAGUAUGCCUAACACAUGCAAAUCGAACGAGAAAAUUUUUAACAAAUGAGUAUAGUGGUGAACGGGUGAGUAAUACAUAGGAAUUUGCUUAAUAAUUUGGGAUAUGUAUUUUGUUUUAUACAAUUAAGAAUAAUUAUUCAUAUAAAUACCAAAUAAUUUUCAAUUUAUUUGAAAAAAAGAUUAAAUCGUUAUUAAAUAAGCCUAUGUAGGAUUAGGUAGUUGGUAAGAUAAAAGCUUACCAAGCCAAAGAUCCUUAGUUGUUUUGAAAGAUUGAACAACCACAUUGGGAUUGAGAGACGGCCCAAACUCUUACGAGAGGCAGCAGUGAGGAAUAUUGGACAAUGAGGGAAACCUUGAUCCUACGAUACUGCGUGAAUGAAUGAAGACUCUUUGAGUUGUAAAAUUCUUUCAUUAAGGAAGAUAAUGACGUUACUUAAAAAAGAAGUUCCGGCUAACUCCGUGCCAGCAGCCGCGGUAAGACGGAGGGAACUAGUGUUAUUCGGAAUAACUGGGCGUAAAGGGUAUGUAGGCGGUUUAUUAAGUUUUAGGUGAAAGUUUAAAGCUUAACUUUAAAAUUAUUUAAAAUACUUUUAAACUUGAGUUUAAUAGAGGAUAAUGGAAUUUUUAGUGUAGAAAUAAAAUUUGUAAAUAUUAAAAGGAACUCCAGAAGCGAAGGCGAUUAUCUGGAUUAACACUGACGCUGAGGUACGAAAGGAUGGGGAGCAACCAGGAUUAGAGACCCUGUUAGUCCAUCCUGUAAACGAUGAGUGUUAAAUGUUAGAUUUUAAAUCUAGUGUUACAGCUAACGCGUUAAACACUCCGCCUGGGAAGUAUGAUCGCAAGAUUGAAACUUAAAGGAAGUGACGGGGAUCUAAACAAGCGGUGGAGCAUGUGGUUUAAUUCGUAACAACGCGCAAAACCUUACCAAUUCUUGACAUAUUAAAUGAAACUAUUUAUUUAAUUUUAAAUAGUAUUAAUACAGGUGUUGCAUGGCUGUCGUCAGUUCGUGUUGUGAAAUGUUUGGUUCAUUCCUUUAACGAACGUAACCCUUAUUUUUAAUUAUUAUAAAUAUUAUUUUCAAUUUAUUAAAUAAUAUUAAAUAGAUUAAAAAAACUGCUAAUAAUAAAUUAGAGGAAGGCGAGGAUGACGUCAAGUCUUCAUGGCCCUGAUGGAUUGGGCUACACACGUGCUACAAUGGUUAUGACAAUAAGAAGCAAAAACGUAAGUUGGAGCAAAUCUUUAAAAGUAAUCUUAGUUCGGAUUGUUCUCUGCAACUCGAGAACAUGAAGGUGGAAUCGCUAGUAAUCGCAAAUCAGCAUGUUGCGGUGAAUAUGUUCUUAGGUCUUGUACACACCGCCCGUCAAGCCUUGGAAAUUAGUGGAUUUGUAAGUUUAUUUUUUAAUUUUAUAACAAUAAUUUAAUUUUUAUAGUUGAUAUAUUUAAUAAAGUUAAAUGAUUAUAAUUAGAAAAAUAAAUCAUAAUCAGAUUAGUAACUAAGGCUAAGUCGUAACAAGGUAGUCGUAGGGGAACCUGUGGCUG